Long non-coding RNA from Physeter macrocephalus (sperm whale), 1295 nucleotides. RefSeq lists it as uncharacterized. Lineage: Eukaryota; Metazoa; Chordata; Mammalia; Artiodactyla; Physeteridae. The record is from RefSeq and is a predicted model, not a curated record. The transcript has 4 exons.
CUGGAGAAAGCCCUUGCACAGAAAUGAAGACCCAACACAGCCAAAAAAAAAAAAAAAAAAGAUGUUAUUGAACUUGAUCAUGGAGUCGACUGGUACAGGCUGAGGAAAAACAACAACUUGCGUCGCUCUAUAAAAAUGUCAAGAUACCAUUAUUAGGAGAUGAAGAGGAGGGCUCUGAGGAUGAGGGCCAGGAUGAGUCCACGCACCUCCUUUCAGAGAGUGAGAAGGAACUGGAAAAGUUCAUUCAUUCAGUCAUUAGAUCAAAAAGAAGAAAAUAUAUGGAAAAGAAGAGAUUGAACACAGAGCAAAAGUUGGUAAAGGAAGUGGAAAUAAAGGAUGCUAUACAUACCGCAAAUCCAGGGCAUCUGUGAAAAGAAAUGAAAAAGAGGCAGGACAUGCCAGCCAGUGUGGAGGAAACAGUGACAGAUGACAGAAUGUGAGCAUGACUUGCUCCUGGAAAACCCUGUGCAAGAGCACUGUAAAGGAAGAACACCAGACGUAAAAACAGGAAAUAAAUUCAUAUGAUAUAGCAAUCUUGCUUCCUAGUUCUUAGAGUUUAUGAAUAAAUACAACUUAAUUGGAAAAGAAAAAAAUCCAACUUUGUAAGUGUGAAAGAGAAAUUGUCAGGAUUUUCUUUUCUCACUCCUAACCAGUAGUUUCUUCGGGGAUCUGGGACCUGGUGCAGGAAAUAGGUCUGCGGGCAAAGAGCUACAAAGCAUUGCCAGAUGUACUGAGUGCUGUAAGCUGGGAGUCACCGAGAGCUGUGGAAACACAAAAGGGGCAGGAUUUAAUCUGAGUGGUGUUGUUGGUGUGGAAAACAGUCUGAUGGUUCCUCGAAAAGGUAAACAUAGAGUCACUACCUGACCCAGCAAUUCCACUCCUGGGUAUAUAUCCAAAAGAAUUGAAAAUAUAUGUACCUGCACACAAGAGAAACCCUCACACAAACGUUCAUAGCAGCAUUAUUCAUAAGAGCAAAAAGGUGGAAACACCGCAUAUGUCCAUCAACUGAUAAAUUAACAAGAUGUGGUCUCUCCAUACAGUGGGAUGUUAUUAAGCAAGAAAAAAGAUAGAAGUACUGACACAUGGUACAACAUAGAUGAUCCUUGAAAACAUUAUGCUAAGUAAAAGCGGUUAGACACAAAAGGUCCACACUCGUAUGAUUCUAUUUAUACGAAAUACCUAGAAUAGGCAAAUCCAUAGAGGGUCAAAGUAGAUAAGUGGUUCUAGGUGCCCAGGGAGGGGAGAAAAGGGAACGAUGGUUGGUGGGUAGGAGGAUUCUCUUGGGGGCAAUGAAA